RNAcentral lists this ribosomal RNA (254 nucleotides) under uncultured bacterium. Its description in RNAcentral is "partial 16S ribosomal RNA". It matches the Rfam family "Bacterial small subunit ribosomal RNA", at positions 524 to 776 of the family's 1533-position model. The record is from RNAcentral.
UACGAAGGGGGCGAGCGUUGUUCGGAUUUACUGGGCGUAAAGCGCGCGUAGGCGGCUUGGCAAGUGAGGCGUGAAAGUCCUGGGCUCAACCCGGGGGACGGCGCUUCAGACUGCUGGGCUUGAGUCCGGAAGAGGGUGGUGGAAUUCCGAGUGUAGAGGUGAAAUUCGUAGAUAUUCGGAGGAACACCGGCGGCGAAGGCGGCCACCUGGUCCGGAACUGACGCUCAAGUGCGAAAGCGUGGGGAGCGAACAGG